Chenopodium quinoa (quinoa) is the source of this 488-nucleotide long non-coding RNA. RefSeq lists it as uncharacterized. The record is from RefSeq and is a predicted model, not a curated record. Lineage: Eukaryota; Viridiplantae; Streptophyta; Magnoliopsida; Caryophyllales; Amaranthaceae. The transcript is spliced from 2 exons.
GAUUGGCUGUUAUUGGAGUAAUAGUUAAUUCUGCUUAACUAAUAAACUAAAUCCAGUCAAAAAAAUAAACUAAAUUUAAUUUCUCAUCGUAUUUUUGUUAUAUUGGCUCCAUUUCUUUUUAUUGUUAGAUUUUCAUGAUAAUUCAAUGGCUCACUAUCUAUCUCUCGAUGUGGCAGGACCUACAUUGUUUGCUCCUGUAGUUGAGAUGGCCAUGACAAUUGUUGAGGAGAGUAGAGGACGAUACCAUGUUUUACUCAUUAUUGUAGAUGGAUUAAUCGAAGACACUCGUAAAUCAUCAAGCAAUUAGUAGAAGAUAGAGAGAAACUUGAUUCCAUUAGUUUUAUUUCCUUGGAGCUGUUGUGUAGUUUUUUUUUUCUUUUUAAUUGUAUAUAAUAAUAGUGUAAUGGAGUACUACUAAGUUUUGAUUUAUUUGGUUUUUUCUUGUAUUUGACUUCACCUUUAUCAAUUAAAGAUUGAAUUUAGUUUUA